This 253-nucleotide ribosomal RNA is filed under the name uncultured bacterium. Its description in RNAcentral is "partial 16S ribosomal RNA". It matches the Rfam family "Bacterial small subunit ribosomal RNA", at positions 524 to 776 of the family's 1533-position model. The record is from RNAcentral.
AACGUAGGGGACAAGCGUUAUCCGGAUUUACUGGGCGUAAAGCGCCCGUAGGCGGCUUUUUAAGUUGGACGUGAAAGCUCCCGGCUUAACUGGGAGAGGCCGUUCAAAACUGAGAGGCUAGAGUGAGGCAGAGGAGCGCGGAAUUCCCGGUGUAGUGGUGGAAUGCGUAGAGAUCCGGAGGAACCCCAGAGGCGAAGGCGGCGCUCUGGCUCGCAACUGACGCUCAGACACGACAGCAUGGGGAGCGAACGGG